This 423-nucleotide ribosomal RNA is filed under the name uncultured bacterium. Its description in RNAcentral is "partial 16S ribosomal RNA". It matches the Rfam family "Bacterial small subunit ribosomal RNA", at positions 361 to 776 of the family's 1533-position model. The record is from RNAcentral.
AUCUUGCGCAAUGCGCGAAAGCGUGACGCAGCAACGCCGCGUGGGGGAAGAAGGCCUUCGGGUUGUAAACCCCUUUCAGGAGGGACGAAGGUUGGCCGGUGAAUAGCCGUGCGGAUUGACGGUACCUCCACAAGAAGCUCCGGCUCACUACGUGCCAGCAGCCGCGGUAAUACGUAGGGGGCAAGCGUUGUCCGGAAUCAUUGGGCGUAAAGCGCGCGUAGGUGGCCAUGUAAGUCCGCUGUGAAAGUCAAAGGCUCAACCUUUGAAAGCCGGUGGAUACUGCAUGGCUAGAGUACGGAAGAGGCGAGUGGAAUUCCUGGUGUAGCGGUGGAAUGCGCAGAUAUCAGGAGGAACACCAAUAGCGAAGGCAGCUCGCUGGGACGUUACUGACACUGAGGCGCGAAAGCGUGGGGAGCGAACAGG